This 235-nucleotide long non-coding RNA is filed under the name Amborella trichopoda. RNAcentral's name for it is "long non-coding RNA (ATRI_LNC003907)". Lineage: Eukaryota; Viridiplantae; Streptophyta; Magnoliopsida; Amborellales; Amborellaceae. The record is from RNAcentral.
UCAAUCACGCCCUCGGCCCAGCAGCAAUGCAAACUUCUCAUCUCCGCCUUUCUAUCAAUCGCAACCAGCAGCUGCGCCCAACUCUCCAUUUCUCCACCCUGCUGUAACCAGCCACCUGCAACUAAUCUUCCCACACCAACCGCGAACCAUACCAGCCCUAACCUCGGCUGCUACCUUUGCCAUGCCAACCACUUAAUCCCUCGCUGCUCCGCCAUCUCACAACCAGCAACCUCCG